UUUGAUGGNGACCGGCGCACGGGUGAGUAACACGUAUCCAACCUGCCGAUGACUCGGGGAUAGCCUUUCGAAAGAAAGAUUAAUACCCGAUGGCAUAGUUCUUCCGCAUGGUGGAACUAUUAAAGAAUUUCGGUCAUCGAUGGGGAUGCGUUCCAUUAGGUUGUUGGCGGGGUAACGGCCCACCAAGCCUUCGAUGGAUAGGGGUUCUGAGAGGGAGGUCCCCCACAUUGGAACUGAGACACGGUCCAAACUCCUACGGGAGGCAGCAUG
Molecule: ribosomal RNA, 270 nt
Filed under: uncultured bacterium
Lineage: Bacteria
Description: partial 16S ribosomal RNA
Rfam family: Bacterial small subunit ribosomal RNA
Source: RNAcentral